RNAcentral lists this ribosomal RNA (770 nucleotides) under uncultured Neocallimastigales. Its description in RNAcentral is "partial large subunit ribosomal RNA". It matches the Rfam family "Eukaryotic large subunit ribosomal RNA", at positions 18 to 640 of the family's 3401-position model. Lineage: Eukaryota; Fungi; Neocallimastigomycota; Neocallimastigomycetes; Neocallimastigales. The record is from RNAcentral.
UCAGACGAUGCGUCAUGCAUAUCAAUAAGCGGAGGAAAAGAAACUAACAAGGAUUCCCUCAGUAACGGCGAGUGAAGCGGGAAGAGCUCAAAUUUGAAAUCUUGAAAGGUCACCUUUCACGAAUUGUAGUUUAAAGAAGUGUUUUCUGUUACGAUCGUAAUAUAAGUUCUUUGGAAUAGGACAUCACAGAGGGUGAGAAUCCCGUCUAUGAUUGCGAUUUGUAGCUUUGUGAUACACUUUCAAAGAGUCGGGUUGUUUGGGAAUGCAGCCCAAAACGGGAGGUAAAUUUCUUCUAAGGCUAAAUAUUGGCGAGAGACCGAUAGCGAACAAGUACCGUGAGGGAAAGAUGAAAAGAACUUUGAAAAGAGAGUUAAAUAGUACGUGAAAUUGUCAAAAGGGAAGCGUUUAACACCAGUGUUGUUUUCUGAAAAUCAACCUCUGUUAGCUUUAUGCAUGUUUGUUUAGACCUAAUCAGCUAUCUUGCAUGUUCUAUUGUUUGCAGUGGUGCACUUUUCAGUUUACAGGUCAACAUCAGUUUUUUUACCGUAAAAAAGUUAAAGAAAGGUAGCUCAUGGCUCCGGUCGUGAGUGUUAUAGUCUUUUUCCUAUGCGGUAGGAGAGACUGAGGUCUGCAGUGUAGGCUAUUCGGCUAGAUACUCAGGUGCUAUGUGAUACCAUUUCAUAAACAACUUGUUGAUUAUGUUUUGUCUAUUGCAUACUCGCUUGUACUAUCAUACCUACGCUUAGGAUGUUGAAGACUCUACAGAGAUA